RNAcentral lists this ribosomal RNA (454 nucleotides) under uncultured bacterium. RNAcentral's name for it is "partial 16S ribosomal RNA". It matches the Rfam family "Bacterial small subunit ribosomal RNA", at positions 28 to 507 of the family's 1533-position model. The record is from RNAcentral.
GAUGAACGCUGACAGAAUGCUUAACACAUGCAAGUCUACUUGAACUUCGGUUUGGGUGGCGGACGGGUGAGUAACGCGUAAAGAACUUGCCUCACAGAUAGGGACAACAUUUGGAAACGAAUGCUAAUACCUGAUAUUAUGAUUUUAGGGCAUCCUAGAAUUAUGAAAGCUAUAUGCACUGUGAGAGAGCUUUGCGUCCCAUUAGCUAGUUGGAGAGGUAACGGCUCACCAAGGCGAUGAUGGGUAGCCGGCCUGAGAGGGUGAUCGGCCACAAGGGGACUGAGACACGGCCCUUACUCCUACGGGAGGCAGCAGUGGGGAAUAUGGGACAAUGGACCAAGAGUCUGAUCCAGCAAUUCUGUGUGCACGAUGAAGUUUUUCGGAAUGUAAAGUGCUUUCAGUUGGGAAGAAAAAAAUGACGGUACCAACAGAAGAAGUGACGGCUAAAUACGUG